UAACACCUGCUCUGUAUUAGGAUCACGUGGAGGAGAGCGGAAUGAUACACCCUUGUCUCCUCUGUAGAGCCGGGUUUAGAAGAGGAUGGUACACAGAACUGCGGAUGUUUCAAAAGUCAAGAACUUGCGCACUGGGCUGGACAGGCAGGAGCAGCCAAGGAAGAUAAUAGGAAUUUCAGAAGUCGAAGUGAUUCAUGCCAAGAGAAAAAGACAAAGAGGAUGGGUGGAGAAAAAUGAAGAGAUUGGGAGAAGAGAGGGAGCGAGAGGGAGAAAGGAAGAAAAAGUACACAGGGGCAUCUGUGGGGCUUUACUGAAGCUGUCUUGGAUUAUAUGACCAGUCUCCCACUGGGUUGAAAAAGCAGAAGAAUGAAGGCUCUGCCCUGUUUAAUUGCUGUUUCUCUUCGUGCUGGCAUAGAGGGUAGACUGAGUCAGCAACCUGGCUGGGUAUGGGAUUGGACAAAGAAGGCAAAUGAUAUAAAAAAUAUAUAUAAAGAAAACCAAGACAAGCAGUAUGUUCACAGGAUAUUUUUAAAUUCAAAA
This is a long non-coding RNA of Meriones unguiculatus (Mongolian gerbil), 540 nucleotides long. RefSeq lists it as uncharacterized. The record is from RefSeq and is a predicted model, not a curated record. The transcript is spliced from 4 exons. Lineage: Eukaryota; Metazoa; Chordata; Mammalia; Rodentia; Muridae.